Molecule: ribosomal RNA, 1457 nt
Filed under: uncultured bacterium
Lineage: Bacteria
Description: 16S ribosomal RNA
Rfam family: Bacterial small subunit ribosomal RNA
Source: RNAcentral
AGAGUUUGAUCCUGGCUCAGAGUGAACGCUGGCGGCGUGCCUAAUACAUGCAAGUCGAACGAUGAAGCUCUAGCUUGCUAGAGUGGAUUAGUGGCGCACGGGUGAGUAAUGCAUAGAUAACAUGCCCUUUAGUCUAGGAUAGCCAUUGGAAACGAUGAUUAAUACUGGAUACUCCUUACGAGGGAAAGUUUUUCGCUAAAGGAUUGGUCUAUGUCCUAUCAGCUUGUUGGUGAGGUAAUGGCUCACCAAGGCUAUGACGGGUAUCCGGCCUGAGAGGGUGAACGGACACACUGGAACUGAGACACGGUCCAGACUCCUACGGGAGGCAGCAGUAGGGAAUAUUGCUCAAUGGGGGAAACCCUGAAGCAGCAACGCCGCGUGGAGGAUGAAGGUUUUCGGAUUGUAAACUCCUUUUGUUAGAGAAGAUAAUGACGGUAUCUAACGAAUAAGCACCGGCUAACUCCGUGCCAGCAGCCGCGGUAAUACGGAGGGUGCAAGCGUUACUCGGAAUCACUGGGCGUAAAGAGCGCGUAGGCGGGAUAGCAAGUCAGAUGUGAAAUCCUAUGGCUUAACCAUAGAACUGCAUUUGAAACUGUUAUUCUAGAGUAUGGGAGAGGUAGGUGGAAUUCUUGGUGUAUGGGUAAAAUCCGUAGAGAUCAAGAGGAAUACUCAUUGCGAAGGCGACCUGCUAGAACAUAACUGACGCUGAUGCGCGAAAGCGUGGGGAGCAAAUAGGAUUAGAUACCCUGGUAGUCCACGCCCUAAACGAUGAAUGCUAGUUGUUGUGGAGCUUGUCUCUGCAGUAAUGCAGCUAACGCAUUAAGCAUUCCGCCUGGGGAGUACGGUCGCAAGAUUAAAACUCAAAGGAAUAGACGGGGACCCGCACAAGCGGUGGAGCAUGUGGUUUAAUUCGAAGAUACACGAAGAACCUUACCUAGGCUUGACAUUGAUAGAAUCCGCUAGAGAUAGUGGAGUGCUAGCUUGCUAGAACUUGAAAACAGGUGCUGCACGGCUGUCGUCAGCUCGUGUCGUGAGAUGUUGGGUUAAGUCCCGCAACGAGCGCAACCCUCGUCCUUAGUUGCUAACUAUUCGGUAGAGCACUCUAAGGAGACUGCCUUCGCAAGGAGGAGGAAGGUGAGGAUGACGUCAAGUCAUCAUGGCCCUUACGCCUAGGGCUACACACGUGCUACAAUGGGAAGCACAAAGAGAUGCAAUAUUGUGAAAUGGAGCAAAUCUAUAAAACUUCUCUCAGUUCGGAUUGUAGUCUGCAACUCGACUACAUGAAGCUGGAAUCGCUAGUAAUCGUAAAUCAGCUAUGUUACGGUGAAUACGUUCCCGGGUCUUGUACUCACCGCCCGUCACACCAUGGGAGUUGUAUUCGCCUUAAGUCGGAAUGCCAAACUGGCUACCGCCCACGGCGGAUGCAGCGACUGGGGUGAAGUCGUAACAAGGUAACC